GUUGUGACUCAGUGGUACAGUGUUUGCCUAGCACGUGGGAGGCACUGGGUUCGAUUCUCAGCAUGACA
Molecule: transfer RNA, 68 nt
Filed under: Marmota monax (woodchuck)
Lineage: Eukaryota; Metazoa; Chordata; Mammalia; Rodentia; Sciuridae
Description: tRNA.Ala
Source: RNAcentral